CGCAAUGGACGAAAGUCUGACGGAGCAACGCCGCGUGAGUGAUGAAGGUUUUCGGAUCGUAAAACUCUGUUGUUAGGGAAGAACAAGUGCGAGAGUAACUGCUCGCACCUUGACGGUACCUAACCAGAAAGCCACGGCUAACUACGUGCCAGCAG
RNAcentral lists this ribosomal RNA (155 nucleotides) under uncultured Bacillota bacterium. Its description in RNAcentral is "uncultured Firmicutes bacterium partial 16S ribosomal RNA". It matches the Rfam family "Bacterial small subunit ribosomal RNA", at positions 367 to 514 of the family's 1533-position model. Lineage: Bacteria; Bacillati; Bacillota. The record is from RNAcentral.